Molecule: ribosomal RNA, 1300 nt
Filed under: Bacillus aerophilus
Lineage: Bacteria; Bacillati; Bacillota; Bacilli; Caryophanales; Bacillaceae
Description: bacterial SSU rRNA
Rfam family: Bacterial small subunit ribosomal RNA
Source: RNAcentral
CGGAUGUUAGCGGCGGACGGGUGAGUAACACGUGGGUAACCUGCCUGUAAGACUGGGAUAACUCCGGGAAACCGGAGCUAAUACCGGAUAGUUCCUUGAACCGCAUGGUUCAAGGAUGAAAGACGGUUUCGGCUGUCACUUACAGAUGGACCCGCGGCGCAUUAGCUAGUUGGUGAGGUAACGGCUCACCAAGGCGACGAUGCGUAGCCGACCUGAGAGGGUGAUCGGCCACACUGGGACUGAGACACGGCCCAGACUCCUACGGGAGGCAGCAGUAGGGAAUCUUCCGCAAUGGACGAAAGUCUGACGGAGCAACGCCGCGUGAGUGAUGAAGGUUUUCGGAUCGUAAAGCUCUGUUGUUAGGGAAGAACAAGUGCAAGAGUAACUGCUUGCACCUUGACGGUACCUAACCAGAAAGCCACGGCUAACUACGUGCCAGCAGCCGCGGUAAUACGUAGGUGGCAAGCGUUGUCCGGAAUUAUUGGGCGUAAAGGGCUCGCAGGCGGUUUCUUAAGUCUGAUGUGAAAGCCCCCGGCUCAACCGGGGAGGGUCAUUGGAAACUGGGAAACUUGAGUGCAGAAGAGGAGAGUGGAAUUCCACGUGUAGCGGUGAAAUGCGUAGAGAUGUGGAGGAACACCAGUGGCGAAGGCGACUCUCUGGUCUGUAACUGACGCUGAGGAGCGAAAGCGUGGGGAGCGAACAGGAUUAGAUACCCUGGUAGUCCACGCCGUAAACGAUGAGUGCUAAGUGUUAGGGGGUUUCCGCCCCCUUAGUGCUGCAGCUAACGCAUUAAGCACUCCGCCUGGGGAGUACGGUCGCAAGACUGAAACUCAAAGGAAUUGACGGGGGCCCGCACAAGCGGUGGAGCAUGUGGUUUAAUUCGAAGCAACGCGAAGAACCUUACCAGGUCUUGACAUCCUCUGACAACCCUAGAGAUAGGGCUUUNCCUUCGGGNNNACAGAGUGACAGGUGGUGCAUGGUUGUCGUCAGCUCGUGUCGUGAGAUGUUGGGUUAAGUCCCGCAACGAGCGCAACCCUUGAUCUUAGUUGCCAGCAUUCAGUUGGGCACUCUAAGGUGACUGCCGGUGACAAACCGGAGGAAGGUGGGGAUGACGUCAAAUCAUCAUGCCCCUUAUGACCUGGGCUACACACGUGCUACAAUGGACAGAACAAAGGGCUGCGAGACCGCAAGGUUUAGCCAAUCCCACAAAUCUGUUCUCAGUUCGGAUCGCAGUCUGCAACUCGACUGCGUGAAGCUGGAAUCGCUAGUAAUCGCGGAUCAGCAUGCCGCGGUGAAUACG